GAUCCUGGCUCAGAUUGAACGCUGGCGGAAUGCUUUACACAUGCAAGUCGAACGGUAGAGGGGGCAACCCUUGAGAGUGGCGAACGGGUGAGUAAUAUAUCGGAACGUGCCCAGUCGUGGGGAUAACGUAGCGAAAGUUACGCUAAUACCGCAUACGAUCUAAGGAUGAAAGCGGGGGACUCGCAAGAGCCUCGCGCGAUUGGAGCGGCCGAUAUCAGAUUAGGUAGUUGGUGGGGUAAAGGCUCACCAAGCCAACGAUCUGUAGCUGGUCUGAGAGGACGACCAGCCACACUGGAACUGAGACACGGUCCAGACUCCUACGGGAGGCAGCAGUGGGGAAUUUUGGACAAUGGACGCAAGUCUGAUCCAGCCAUUCCGCGUGCAGGAUGAAGGCCCUCGGGUUGUAAACUGCUUUGUACGGAACGAAAAGGUUUCUAUUAAUACUAGGAGCUCAUGACGGUACCGUAAGAAUAAGCACCGGCUAACUACGUG
This 492-nucleotide ribosomal RNA is filed under the name uncultured bacterium. RNAcentral describes it as "bacterial SSU rRNA". It matches the Rfam family "Bacterial small subunit ribosomal RNA", at positions 15 to 507 of the family's 1533-position model. The record is from RNAcentral.